AGUGGCACUUCCAGUUAAAACUAGAGAACCAAGAAAACAAAAUUAAGAAAUAGGAAUACUUGCUGGUAAUUAUGCAUCAAUGACUUGAAAACUCAAGAAACCUAUAUUUAGGGCAUAAAUUGGUCAACAUGUUUCUCUUAAAAGUAUUUAGGGCAUAAAUUGGCCAACAUGUUUCUCUUAAAAGAAUGCGUGGCAUAAUUAUAACAUGUAAGUAAAGGCAGAAUCAUGCAUAAAAUCCUUAUGUGUCUAUUGGAAAAUCAUGUCAGUCAACCAGUGAACAGUACUGGAUUUCACAUUUAUUUAAUGUUGUCAAAUUAACACAAGGAA
RNAcentral lists this unclassified non-coding RNA (327 nucleotides) under Hevea brasiliensis (rubber tree). The record is from RNAcentral. Lineage: Eukaryota; Viridiplantae; Streptophyta; Magnoliopsida; Malpighiales; Euphorbiaceae.